UUGGUUUGCACGACUAGUCCACCGGUUUCCUGCUAUUUCUCACCAACAUGAAUACUGGGUAACUUAACCUACCAAGAAUUAAAUAAAUGGGAAGAGUUCACCUUCUGCGGCCUCCAUUGGGAUUCAAACCUUUGUUUGCAAGGUGCUUGAAAGCUUGGUUCUCAAUGGGUGUUGGAUUUAGUCUUGCCGUGUUGGCUGCAGUUACUAUGAUUCUUUUGUAUGAAAUCGGCCAGAUACUGUGUCUCUAUUAUAGCAACACUCAGAUG
Non-coding RNA from Nicotiana tabacum (common tobacco), 266 nucleotides. The record is from RefSeq and is a predicted model, not a curated record. NCBI's taxonomy places the organism in Eukaryota, Viridiplantae, Streptophyta, Magnoliopsida, Solanales, Solanaceae.